AGAGCCAGAAAAGGAUGCCUUGGGUGAGAAAGCCGAUGAAAGACCUAGUUGAUUGGGAAAAGCUACGACAAGAUGUCAACAAUCGUUAUAGUCGUAGAUAUCUGAAUGGGGAAACCUAUCCUUCGGGAUGCUCGCUUAGUCGAGACGGCAAGCUUGGGAAGUGAAAUAUCUCAGUACCAAGAAGAAAAGAAAUCGUAAGAGAUUCCGUUAGUAGUGACGAGCGAACGCGGAGGAGUCUAAACCAGUUAUUGUGUCAAGGUUCUAGCCGUUGCAUAAUUGGGGUUGUAGGAGUAUUAUUGAUAAGCUAGUAAUUAUCUGCAAAGUCAAAAAAUAUGUCGAGAGGGGAAGGCUCUGGAAAGUGCCACCAUAGGGAGUGAAAGUCUCGUACUCGUAUUGUCAUAUCUUUGUUUAUACCACCUGAGUAACGUCAGACACGAGAAAUCUGGCGUGAAGCUAGGCAGACCACUGUCUAAGACUAAAUACUUUCUCACACCGAUAGCGCAUAGUACCGUGAGGGAACGGUGAAAAGAACCGCGGGUAGCGGAGUGAAAUAGAUCCUGAAAUUUCUGGCUCACAAGGGAGUGGGAGCCUUUAUUGGUGACCGCGUACCUAUUGAGGAAUGGGUCAGCGAGUAAUUGACAGUAGCAAGGUUAAGGCAAUUGUAGCCGGAGCCGUAGCGAAAGCAAGUCUGAAUAGGGCGUUUAGUUGCUGUUAAUUGACCCGAAGCGUUAUGAGCUAGUCAUGGCCAGGUUGAUCUGUCGCGAAGGCGACAAGGAGGACCGAACCGGUUGGAACUGCAAAUCCUUCGGAUGAGCCGUGUCUAGGAGUGAAAAGCUCAUCGAAUAACGUGAUAGCUGGUUCUCUCCGAAACAAAUUUAGGUUUGACCUGCAAUUAAGAUCCGGUAGAGGUAGAGCUCUUAUAAGGCUAGGGGUGUCGAGAGACAUUACCAAACCUUGUUAAACUUCGAAUGCUACCGUAAAUAUUGUGGAGUUAGACGGUGACAGCAAAUUGCCAUCGUCGAAAGGGUAACAGCCCAGAUUUCUGACUAAGGUCCCUAAAUAAUAGCUAAGUGGGAAAAGAGGUGUCGCUGCUAAGACAUCUAGGAGGUUUGCUCAGAAGCAGCAAUCCUUUAAAGAGUGCGUAACAGCUCACUAGACAAGCGGCGAUGCGCUGAAGAUGUAACGGGGCUAAGCUAUUUACCGAAGUCGAAAGUCUAUUGAUUUAUCAAUAUGGCGGUAGGAGAGUGUUGUAUACGGGUUGAAGCUGAAGUGUAAGCGACAGUGGACUGUAUACAAGUAAUAAUGCUGAUAUGAGUAACGUAUGUAGAUGAAAAUUCUACACGUCGAAUACCUAAGGUUUCCUACGCAACGUUCAUCGACGUAGGGUUAGUCAGGACCUAAGCACAUCCUGAAAAGGUGUCGCGAUGGAUAACUAGUUAAUAUUCUAGUACUUAAAAUAUGGCGAUGGAGGAACGCAUUUGGAUUCAUUGGAGCCUCUUAAGGAUUGGGGUUGUAUAUCGAGGCUUGAUAGUAGGAAAAUCCGCUAUCUUUCGGCCGAGUAAAACACGUAGUCUGAGCAAUCAGACGUAAGUUCAGUUGUUUGGGUGCCAAGAAAAUCUUCUAGCUUAACAUAUUUUAACCUGUACCGAGAACAGACACAUGUAGGUUGGUAGAGAAUACCUAGACGGUCGAAACAACUAAUAACUAAGGAACUUGGCAAAAAAGCGGACGUAACUUCGGGAUAAGUCCUUCCCACAGCAAUGUGGGACGCAGCGAAUGUCGCGGGGGCGACUGUUUAUCACAAACACAGCUUCAUGCUAACACGUAAGUGGAUGUAUAUGAAGUGAUGCCUGUCCGAUGCCAGAAUGUUAAGCUCUCUUGUUCACGCUCGGGAGUCAAGCACUGGUGAAUGACGGCCGUAACUAUGACGGUCCUAAGGUAGCGAAAUUCCUUGUCGGGUAAGUUCCGACCCGCACGAACGGCAUAACGAUCCCCGCACUGUCUCAGUUUUAGUUUCGGUGAAAUUACAAUCCCGGUGAAAAUGCCGGGUAGAUGCAGUUAGACGUGAAGACCCCGUGAAGCUUCACUAUAGAUUGGUAUUGUAUCGUAGCGUAUGUUGCUCAGCAUAAGUAGAAGGCUUUGAAGUCCAAACUCUGGUUUGGGUGGAGCCAAAAAGUGAGAUACUACUCAUUGUACGUCGCGAUACUAACCCGCCAUUGGCGGGAACAGUGCUAGUUGGGUAGUUUACCUGGGGCGGGUGCCUCCUAAAGUGUAACGGAGGUGCACAAAGGUGUUCUUGGUACGGAUGGAAACCGUAUUGUAAGUGUAUUCGCAUAAGAACGCUUGACUGUGAGACUGACAGGUCGAACAGAUACGAAAGUAGGUGAAAAUGAUCCGGAUCUUUCAAGUGGAAGAGGAUCCGCUCAACGGAUAAAAGUUACUCCGGGGAUAACAGGCUAAUGGAAUCCAAUAGUUCAUAUAGACGAUUCCGUUUGGCACCUCGAUGUCGACUCGUCGCAUCCUGGGGCUGUAGAAGGUCCCAAGGGUUGGGCUGUUCGCCCAUUAAAGCGGGACGCGAGUUGGGUUCAGAACGUCGUGAGACAGUUCGGUCCCUAUCUACUGCAUCCGUAAGCAAUUUGAAGAGUGCUGUCCCUAGUACGAGAGGACCGGGAUGGACAAGCCUCUGGUGCACCAGUUGUCGAACCAUCGGCAUAGCUGGGUAGCUAAGCUUGGAACUGAUAACCGCUGAAAGCAUCUAAGUGGGAAACAUGCUCUAAGAUUAGAUUGCUCCUAUAUCGCAAGAUAUAGAUAAGACCUCCUGGAGACUACAGGUUUGAUAGGUAACAGGUGUACGCACAGUAAUGUGUUAGCCGAGUUGU
Molecule: ribosomal RNA, 2879 nt
Filed under: wastewater metagenome
Also listed under: 1 other name
Description: bacterial LSU rRNA
Rfam family: Bacterial large subunit ribosomal RNA
Source: RNAcentral